Non-coding RNA from Alcaligenes sp. EGD-AK7, 184 nucleotides. It matches the Rfam family "6S / SsrS RNA". Rfam says of the family: E. coli 6S RNA was the first non coding RNA to be sequenced, but its function was unknown until recently. It consists of 184 nucleotides that fold into an extended hairpin structure with a large single-stranded internal bulge. The record is from Rfam. NCBI's taxonomy places the organism in Bacteria, Pseudomonadati, Pseudomonadota, Betaproteobacteria, Burkholderiales, Alcaligenaceae.
AAGUCCCUGCCGUGUUCGUGACACGACCAUACAUUCCUUGAACCAAUGCUUUUGGCAUACAGGUUGUUGGAUUAGCCAGUAGGAGCGAUCGUCCUCGUCGACGAACCCGAAGCUGGCUUGAUGACAGCCGAUCUUGGACCCUCGGUUCCAGGAUGCCGGUCUUGACGGCAAUGGUGGGGCACCU